AACGAACGCUGGCGGCAUGCUUAACACAUGCAAGUCGAACGAGACCUUCGGGUCUUGUGGCGCUCGGGUGCGUAACGCGUGGGAACCUGCCCUUAGGUUCGGUAUAACUCCCUGUGAGGGGUGCUCAUACCGGAUAAUGUCUUCGGACCAAAGAGUUAUCGCUGUUGGCUGGGCGCGCGUUGGAUUAGCUGGUUGGUAGGGGAAAAGCAUAGCAAGGCGACGAUGCAUGGCUGGUCGGGGAGGAUGAUCAGCCACGAUGGGACUGAGGCACGGCCCAGACUCGUACGGAGGGCAGCGGUAGGGAAUAUUAGGGAAUGAACCAUGACCUAGUACAGCAGUGCGGGGGAAGUGAUGAAGGCCUUAGGGUUGUAAAGCUCUUUUGCCCGAAAUGAUAAUGACGGUACCGGGAGAAUAAGCACCGGCUAACUCCGUG
This 433-nucleotide ribosomal RNA is filed under the name uncultured bacterium. RNAcentral describes it as "partial 16S ribosomal RNA". It matches the Rfam family "Bacterial small subunit ribosomal RNA", at positions 29 to 507 of the family's 1533-position model. The record is from RNAcentral.